AGUGAACGCUGGCGGUAGGCCUAACACAUGCAAGUCGAACGGCAGCACAGUAAGAGCUUGCUCUUACGGGUGGCGAGUGGCGGACGGGUGAGGAAUACAUCGGAAUCUACUUUUUCGGGGGGGAUAACGUAGGGAAACUUACGCUAAUACCGCAUACGACCUACGGGUGAAAGCAGGGGAUCUUCGGACCUUGCGCGAUUGAAUGAGCCGAUGUCGGAUUAGCUAGUUGGCGGGGUAAAGGCCCACCAAGGCGACGAUCCGUAGCUGGUAUGAGAGGAUGAUCAGCCACACUGGAACUGAGACACGGUACAGACUCCUGCGGGAGGCAGCAGUGGGGAAUAUUGGACAAUGGGCGCAAGCCUGAUCCAGCCAUACCGCGUGGGUGAAGAAGGACUUCGGGUUGUAAAGCCCUUUUGUUGGGAGAGAAAAGCAGCAGGUUAAUACCCCGCUGUUCUGACGGUACCCAAAGAAUAAGCACCGGCUAACUUCGUG
This 492-nucleotide ribosomal RNA is filed under the name uncultured bacterium. RNAcentral describes it as "partial 16S ribosomal RNA". It matches the Rfam family "Bacterial small subunit ribosomal RNA", at positions 29 to 507 of the family's 1533-position model. The record is from RNAcentral.